CCUACGGGAUGCACCAGUGGGGAAUAUUGCACAAUGGGCGCAAGCCUGAUGCAGCCAUGCCGCGUGUGUGAAGAAGGCCCUCGGGUUGUAAAGCACUUUCAGCGAGGAGGAAGGUGGUGAACUUAAUACGUUCAUCAAUUGACGUUACUCGCAGAAGAAGCACCGGCUAACUCCGUGCCAGCAGCCGCGGUAAUACGGAGGGUGCAAGCGUUAAUCGGAAUUACUGGGCGCAAAGCGCACGCAGGCGGUUUGUUAAGUCAGAUGUGAAAUCCCCGGGCUCAACCUGGGAACUGCAUUUGAAACUGGCAAGCUAGAGUCUCGUAGAAGGGGGUAGAAUUCCAGGUGUAGCGGUGAAAUGCGUAGAGAUCUGGAGGAAUACCAGUGGCGAAGGCGGCCCCCUGGACAAAGACUGACGCUCAGAUGCGAAAGCGUGGGGAGCAAACAGGAUUAGAUACCCGGGUAGUC
RNAcentral lists this ribosomal RNA (465 nucleotides) under uncultured bacterium. RNAcentral's name for it is "bacterial SSU rRNA". It matches the Rfam family "Bacterial small subunit ribosomal RNA", at positions 338 to 795 of the family's 1533-position model. The record is from RNAcentral.